UACGUAGGGGGCGAGCGUUGUCCGGAAUCAUUGGGCGUAAAGCGCGUGUAGGCGGCUUGGUAAGUCCGGUGUGAAACCUUGGGGCUCAACCCCAAGCCUGCACUGGAUACUGCCUCGCUUGAGUCCGGGAGGGGAGAGCGGAAUUCCUAGUGUAGCGGUGAAAUGCGCAGAUAUUAGGAGGAACACCGGUGGCGAAGGCGGCUCUCUGGAACGGUACUGACGCUGAGACGCGAAAGCAUGGGGAGCGAACAGG
This 253-nucleotide ribosomal RNA is filed under the name uncultured bacterium. Its description in RNAcentral is "partial 16S ribosomal RNA". It matches the Rfam family "Bacterial small subunit ribosomal RNA", at positions 524 to 776 of the family's 1533-position model. The record is from RNAcentral.